RNAcentral lists this ribosomal RNA (506 nucleotides) under Dactylispa sp. BMNH 704491. RNAcentral describes it as "partial 16S ribosomal RNA". It matches the Rfam family "Bacterial large subunit ribosomal RNA", at positions 1819 to 2600 of the family's 2925-position model. The record is from RNAcentral. Lineage: Eukaryota; Metazoa; Arthropoda; Insecta; Coleoptera; Chrysomelidae.
GUCUUUAUGAUUAUAAUUUAAAGUCUAGCCUGCCCAAUGAUUAAUUUAAUGGCCGCAGUAUUUUGACUGUGCUAAGGUAGCAUAAUCAUUAGUUUUUUAAUUGAAAGCUGGAAUGAAGGGUUGGACGAAGCAUAGACUUUCUUAAUAAAAAUUUUUUAUAAAUUUACUUUUAAGUUAAAAGGCUUAAAUUUAUUAUAGGGACGAGAAGACCCUAUAGAGUUUUAUUUUAUUUUUUUUAUUUUAUUUUAGUAUUUAAUUUAAUAAUAAAAAUUGAAUUUAAUUGGGGUGAUUGAAAAAUUUAAUUAACUUUUUUUAUAUUUUUACAAGGAUUUUUGGUUAGUUGAUCCUUUGGGGGAUUGUAAGAUUAAACUACCUUAGGGAUAACAGCGUAAUUUAUUUUUAGAGUUCAUAUUGAAAAAUGAGUUUGCGACCUCGAUGUUGGAUUAAGGUUUUGUUUUGGUGUAGGUGCUAAAAUUAUAGGUCUGUUCGACCUUUUAAACUUUACA